UACGGAGGAUGCAAGCGUUAUCCGGAAUUAUUGGGCGUAAAGCGUCCGCAGGUGGCACUUCAAGUCUGCUGUCAAAGACCGGGGCUUAACCCUGGAAAGGCAGUGGAAACUGAAGCGCUAGAGUGUGGCAGGGGUAGAGGGAAUUCCCGGUGUAGCGGUGAAAUGCGUAGAGAUCGGGAAGAACAUCGGUGGCGAAAGCGCUCUACUGGGCCUGCACUGACGCUCAUGCACGAAAGCGUGGGGAGCAAACAGG
This 253-nucleotide ribosomal RNA is filed under the name uncultured bacterium. RNAcentral describes it as "partial 16S ribosomal RNA". It matches the Rfam family "Bacterial small subunit ribosomal RNA", at positions 524 to 776 of the family's 1533-position model. The record is from RNAcentral.